GUGGGGAAUCUUGCGCAAUGGGCGAAAGCCUGACGCAGCCAUGCCGCGUGAAUGAUGAAGGUCUUAGGAUUGUAAAAUUCUUUCACCGGGGACGAUAAUGACGGUACCCGGAGAAGAAGCCCCGGCUAACUUCGUGCCAGCAGCCGCGGUAAUACGAAGGGGGCUAGCGUUGCUCGGAAUUACUGGGCGUAAAGGGCGCGUAGGCGGACAGUUUAGUCAGAGGUGAAAGCCCAGGGCUCAACCUUGGAAUUGCCUUUGAUACUGGCUGUCUUGAGUACGGGAGAGGUGAGUGGAACUCCGAGUGUAGAGGUGAAAUUCGUAGAUAUUCGGAAGAACACCAGUGGCGAACGCGACUCACUGGCCCGUUACUGACGCUGAGGCGCGAAAGCGUGGGGAGCAAACAGGAUUAGAAACCCCGGUAGUCC
This 425-nucleotide ribosomal RNA is filed under the name uncultured bacterium. RNAcentral's name for it is "partial 16S ribosomal RNA". It matches the Rfam family "Bacterial small subunit ribosomal RNA", at positions 354 to 796 of the family's 1533-position model. The record is from RNAcentral.